RNAcentral lists this ribosomal RNA (917 nucleotides) under uncultured bacterium. RNAcentral's name for it is "bacterial SSU rRNA". It matches the Rfam family "Bacterial small subunit ribosomal RNA", at positions 470 to 1400 of the family's 1533-position model. The record is from RNAcentral.
UGACGGUACCUGAUGAAUAAGCUCCGGCUAACUACGUGCCAGCAGCCGCGGUAAUACGUAGGGAGCGAGCGUUAUCCGGAAUUAUUGGGCGUAAAGGGUGCGUAGACCGCUGUUUAAGUCAUUUGUAAAAGUGCUAAGCUCAACUUAGUGAGGCAAAUGAUACUGGACAGCUAGAGUACAGAAGAGGCAAGUGGAACUUCAUGUGUAGCGGUAAAAUGCGUAAAUAUAUGGAAGAACACCAGUGGCGAAGGCGGCUUGCUGGUCUGAUACUGACGUUGAUGCACGAAAGCGUGGGGAGCAAACAGGAUUAGAUACCCUGGUAGUCCACGCCCUAAACGAUGAGUACUAAGUGUUGCCGAGAGGCAGUGCUGAAGUUAACGCAUUAAGUACUCCGCCUGAGUAGUACGUACGCAAGUAUGAAACUUAAAGGAAUUGACGGGAGCCCGCACAAGCGGUGGAGCAUGUUGUUUAAUUCGACGAUACGCGAAGAACCUUACCAGGUCUUGACAUACCUUGCGAAGCUAUAGAGAUAUAGUGGAGGUUAACAAGAGUACAGGUGGUGCAUGGUUGUCGUCAGCUCGUGUCGUGAGAUGUUGGGUUAAGUCCCGCAACGAGCGCAACCCUUAUCUUUAGUUACCAUCAUUAAGUUGGGGACUCUAGAGAGACUGCCAGUGAUAAAUUGGAGGAAGGUGGGGAUGACGUCAAAUCAUCAUGCCCUUUAUGACCUGGGCUACAAACGUGCUACAAUGGCUGAAACAAAGAGAAGCGAAAUCGCGAGAUAGAGCAAACCUCAUAAAAGCAGUCUCAGUUCGGAUUGAAGUCUGCAACUCGACUUCAUGAAGUUGGAAUCGCUAGUAAUCGCGAAUCAGAAUGUCGCGGUGAAUACGUUCCCGGGCUUUGCACACACCGCCCGUCAA